AAUAUUGCACAAUGGGCGCAAGCCUGAUGCAGCGACGCCGCGUGAGCGAAGAAGGUUUUCGGAUCGUAAAGCUCUGUCCUCUGGGAAGAAAAAAAUGACGGUACCAGAGGAGGAAGCCCCGGCUAACUACGUGUCAGCCGCCGCGGUAAUACGUAGGUGGCGAGCGUUAUCCGGAAUUACUGGGUGUAAAGGGUGUGGAGGCGGGAUCGCAAGUCAGUGGUGAAACCCGUGGGCUCAACCCACGGCCUGCCAUUGAAACUGCGGUUCUUGAGAAUGGGAGAGGUAAACGGGAUUCCCGGUGUAGCGGUGAAAUGCGUAGAUAUCGGGAGGAACAUCGGUGGCGAAGGCGGUUUACUGGACCAUAACUGACGCUGAGACACGAAAGCGUGGGGAGCAAACAGG
RNAcentral lists this ribosomal RNA (402 nucleotides) under uncultured bacterium. RNAcentral describes it as "partial 16S ribosomal RNA". It matches the Rfam family "Bacterial small subunit ribosomal RNA", at positions 360 to 776 of the family's 1533-position model. The record is from RNAcentral.